RNAcentral lists this ribosomal RNA (484 nucleotides) under uncultured bacterium. RNAcentral's name for it is "partial 16S ribosomal RNA". It matches the Rfam family "Bacterial small subunit ribosomal RNA", at positions 30 to 507 of the family's 1533-position model. The record is from RNAcentral.
AUUGAACGCUGGCGGCAGGCCUAACACAUGCAAGUCGAGCGGAUGAAGGGAGCUUGCUCCUGGAUUCAGCGGCGGACGGGUGAGUAAUGCCUAGGAAUCUGCCUGGUAGUGGGGGAUAACGUCCGGAAACGGGCGCUAAUACCGCAUACGUCCUGAGGGAGAAAGGGGGGGAUCUUCGGACCUCACGCUAUCAGAUGAGCCUAGGUCGGAUUAGCUAGUUGGUGGGGUAAAGUCCUACCAAGGCGACGAUCCGUAACUGGUCUGAGAGGAUGAUCAGUCACACUGGAACUGAGACACGGUCCAGACUCCUACGGGAGGCAGCAGUGGGGAAUAUUGGACAAUGGGCGAAAGCCUGAUCCAGCCAUGCCGCGUGUGUGAAGAAGGUCUUCGGAUUGUAAAGCACUUUAAGUUGGGAGGAAGGGCAGUAAGUUAAUACCUUGCUGUUUUGACGUUACCAACAGAAUAAGCACCGGCUAACUUCGUG